Molecule: transfer RNA, 71 nt
Filed under: Camelus bactrianus (Bactrian camel)
Lineage: Eukaryota; Metazoa; Chordata; Mammalia; Artiodactyla; Camelidae
Also listed under: 2 other names
Rfam family: tRNA
About the family: Transfer RNA (tRNA) molecules are approximately 80 nucleotides in length. Their secondary structure includes four short double-helical elements and three loops (D, anti-codon, and T loops).
Source: Rfam by way of RNAcentral
GAGGAUAUAGCUCAAUGGUAGAGUGCAUGCGAACAUGCAUAGUGUCGUGGGUUCAAUCCCCAGUACCUCCA